AAUAGACUUACCAUUAUGUAAAAUAUUUAAUUUCAUCUCAGCUAUGUCAUAAGCACUUAACAAAGCCAAUGCUGCACCAAGGCUAUGUCCUGUUAUGGUGAUACUUAGCUCUUCACCUUGGUAUUUUUCGAUUAAUCUAUUAAUCUCCGCUAAAAUUUGUUCACGAGCUGAAAACGAAGCAUAGUGACAAUUAUUUUCUUUUUUAGUAUACAUAUCGAAGAACCCUGUCUCAAUCUUGAUGUUUGGAUCAUCGCGAAAAUGAGCAGGAUGUAAAAUGUCUUGUAGGUCAUGGAUCCAUUCUAGGUAUGUGACCGUGCCACGCCAUGCAACCACUAUGUCACGUCUACCUAAACGUUUUAUUUCUUCAGGAUCUGUGGCUACGGCUACAUACCCCAUCCAGUUCGCGUGUUGGCUCCAAACGUUCCUCAUUUUUGAUUUUUGGAAGAAAUUUGGUAAGUUGAUAUUUGAGGUUGCAUAUAAGUACCUUUUCAUUUCAUACCCUUUUUUCAACAUGUUGAUCUUGUCAAAAAAUUGUGAUGGUUGAUACUUGCAAGUACCACAAUAUUUUGAAUGAGGAUCAUAGUCAAAUGAGUCAUAACAAGAUUGAGCAAAUUCACCAUAACGAAUGAUUUCUUUUCUAAGAUGACAAUCCAUAGGAUCAAGUAAACCUUUCCAAUUGUUACAUCCUUGAAUUUCUCUCCACAUCUCAUGAAGGGGUUUUUUCUCUUCUUCAUCAUAUUGUUGGAGUUCAAUAGUAUUGUUGUCCUCUAAAUUUGAAAGACAUGAAGAUGUUUUCAAAGAUAGGCUAGGUGAAAGUCUUUUGUUUGGGAAAGAGAGGUUGGAUUUGAAUGUGUUCCAUAAUGGAAAAACUUCUAGACAAGUAUGGUUUCUUUUGUGUUUGGGAUUGGUGAGAGAUAACUGAAAGGAAGACAUGAUGAAUAUUGAUGAGAAACUUUUUUUCUUGUGUUUA
RNAcentral lists this unclassified non-coding RNA (970 nucleotides) under Hevea brasiliensis (rubber tree). The record is from RNAcentral. Lineage: Eukaryota; Viridiplantae; Streptophyta; Magnoliopsida; Malpighiales; Euphorbiaceae.